AUUGAACGCUGGCGGCAGGCCUAACACAUGCAAGUCGAGCGGAUGAAGGGAGCUUGCUCCUGGAUUCAGCGGCGGACGGGUGAGUAAUGCCUAGGAAUCUGCCUGGUAGUGGGGGAUAACGUCCGGAAACGGGCGCUAAUACCGCAUACGUCCUGAGGGAGAAAGUGGGGGAUCUUCGGACCUCACGCUAUCAGAUGAGCCUAGGUCGGAUUAGCUAGUUGGUGGGGUAAAGGCCUACCAAGGCGACGAUCCGUAACUGGUCUGAGAGGAUGAUCAGUCACACUGGAACUGAGAAACGGUCAAGACUCCUACGGGAGGCAGCAGUGGGGAAUAUUGGACAAUGGGCGAAAGCCUGAUCCAGCCAUGCCGCGUGUGUGAAGAAGGUCUUCGGAUUGUAAAGCACUUUAAGUUGGGAGGAAGGGCAGUAAGUUAAUACCUUGCUGUUUUGAAGUUACCAACAGAAUAAGCACCGGCUAACUUCGUG
RNAcentral lists this ribosomal RNA (484 nucleotides) under uncultured bacterium. Its description in RNAcentral is "partial 16S ribosomal RNA". It matches the Rfam family "Bacterial small subunit ribosomal RNA", at positions 30 to 507 of the family's 1533-position model. The record is from RNAcentral.